UACAGAGGUGGCAAGCGUUGUUCGGAAUUACUGGGCGUAAAGGGCGCGUAGGCGGCCUUCUAAGUCAGACGUGAAAUCCCCCGGCUUAACCUGGGAACUGCGUCUGAUACUGGGAGGCUUGAGUAUGGGAGAGGGAUGUAGAAUUCCAGGUGUAGCGGUGAAAUGCGUAGAUAUCAUGAGGAAUACCAGAGGCGAAGGCGGCUACCUGGACAAUUGCUGACGCUCAGGCACGAAAGCGUGGGGAGCAAAAGGG
This 253-nucleotide ribosomal RNA is filed under the name uncultured bacterium. RNAcentral's name for it is "partial 16S ribosomal RNA". It matches the Rfam family "Bacterial small subunit ribosomal RNA", at positions 524 to 776 of the family's 1533-position model. The record is from RNAcentral.